This 716-nucleotide long non-coding RNA is filed under the name Gallus gallus (chicken). Lineage: Eukaryota; Metazoa; Chordata; Aves; Galliformes; Phasianidae. The record is from RNAcentral.
UCUUCAAGCCAGCUUCUUUCCAGUUGCGAUGUGGGUAGCCAUACAUGGUAGGGAGACAUGGCAGGGCUUGGUAGGUUGUACGGCCACGGGCAUAGGUCUGCAGGAACAGCUGCUUGUAGGGUCCAAAGUUAGUUACUCCCACCUGAUCAUGGAGGAGUCUCAUUGCUGUCUCAAAGGAACCUGCCAGAAUGUGGUCAACAGGAAGCUGUGAAUUGUUACACCAUACCUGAGCCGGGCUGGUGCCCUUGGUGGGUGGCACAAAGAAGCCAUCUUCUGCUCCUCCUGCUGGACCAGCAGGAACAUCCAGUUCAGGAGGAAGAUCCAAAUCUUCUUCAACUUCCCAUCCACCUCCUUCUUCCUGUCCUUUACCCAGACCUUCCUCUCCAAAGCCUUCUCCAGCAUCUACAAAGCCAUCUUCAUCAAGCUGUAAUUCUGCAUCUUCUCCCCAGCCUUCAGUACCGACAUUGUCAAUAUCUAUGUCAGCAGCCAAGGCACCCCCUUUGCCUAAAAGAAAGAUAGGGUUACUCAUUUACUCAUCUGAGUCAGGAAUUAAGAAAAUAAUUGCCAAAACUCAUCUUAUAUUAAGAAGACAAAGAUUUUUAGAUUUGCCAAGGACAGUGUAAAUACUAACUCUGAAUUCCAAAAAAAAAAAAAAUCUAUAGAUGUGUUACCUGUAGUAACAACAAAUCUGUGGUUUAACAGCAAUACCUCAGAAG